UGGGGAAUUUUGGACAAUGGGCGAAAGCCUGAUCCAGCAAUGCCGCGUGUGUGAAGAAGGCCUUCGGGUUGUAAAGCACUUUUGUCCGGAAAGAAAUCCUUGGCUCUAAUACAGUCGGGGGAUGACGGUACCAGAAGAAUAAGCACCGGCUAACUACGUGCCAGCAGCCGCGGUAAUACGUAGGGUGCAAGCGUUAAUCGGAAUUACUGGGCGUAAAGCGCGCGCAGGCGGUUUGCUAAGACCGAUGUGAAAUCCCCGGGCUCAACCUGGGAACUGCAUUGGUGACUGGCAGGCUAGAGUAUGGCAGAGGGGGGUAGAAUUCCACGUGUAGCAGUGAAAUGCGUAGAGAUGUGGAGGAAUACCGAUGGCGAAGGCAGCCCCCUGGGCCAAUACUGACGCUCAUGCACGAAAGCGUGGGGAGCAAACAGGAUUAGAUACCCUGGUAGUCCACGCCCUAAAGCG
Molecule: ribosomal RNA, 462 nt
Filed under: uncultured bacterium
Lineage: Bacteria
Description: partial 16S ribosomal RNA
Rfam family: Bacterial small subunit ribosomal RNA
Source: RNAcentral